RNAcentral lists this ribosomal RNA (301 nucleotides) under uncultured bacterium. RNAcentral describes it as "partial 16S ribosomal RNA". It matches the Rfam family "Bacterial small subunit ribosomal RNA", at positions 509 to 809 of the family's 1533-position model. The record is from RNAcentral.
CAGUAGCCGCGGGAAAACGGAGGGGGCUAGCGUUGUUCGGAAUUACUGGGCGUAAAGCGCACGUAGGCGGCUUGGUAAGUUAGAGGUGAAAGCCUGGAGCUCAACUCCAGAAUUGCCUUUAAGACUGCCGAGCUAGCAGGUGAGAGAGGUAAGUGGAAUUCCGAGUGUAGAGGUGAAAUUCGUAGAUAUUCGGAAGAACACCAGUGGCGAAGGCGGCUUACUGGCUCAUACUGGACGCUGAGGUGCGAAAGCGUGGGGAGCAAACAGGAUUAGAUACCCGUGUAGUCCCUGUCUCUUAUAA